UCCUCGGUGGCGCAAUUGGCUAGCGCGUCGUGAGUUAUAUCUUCAUGAUUGUACUGGGACAUAUAUAGUAACUAACAACAUUAAUAAUAGUGACUGUUAAUCAGGAGGUUGAAAGUUCGAGCCUUUCCCGGGGAG
Non-coding RNA from Nemania sp. FL0031, 135 nucleotides. The record is from the annotation of a GenBank genome assembly. Lineage: Eukaryota; Fungi; Ascomycota; Sordariomycetes; Xylariales; Xylariaceae.